This 1939-nucleotide long non-coding RNA is filed under the name Mus musculus (house mouse). RNAcentral describes it as "long non-coding RNA chr10:42830571-42832510". The record is from RNAcentral. Lineage: Eukaryota; Metazoa; Chordata; Mammalia; Rodentia; Muridae.
AGUCAGCUGUGUCAGGUGAGCAGAGAUGAACAGCCAGAGCUGUGCUGGUCACAUUUCCUAGUUUUCCUGAGGGAGCCAGGCUCAAGGACCGCUUCUCUAGUGGCUCUUUGCCCUCUGAAAGGUAUACAGACUGUUCAAACAACUGGCUUCUCUGGCUUGAGAGUCUCUGGUGAGGAUUUUACACCCUGAUAACAGCACCAUGCUUACAAAACAGCAUGUCUUCCAUGAUUGGAAAUUCCAACAACUUGAUUCUGUUUGCCUAUGUUGUGAUGUGUAGCAACAUCUCAACCUAAAGGACCAGUUUUCCUCUUAACAAGUGCUUUGGGGAAAGACUCCAGCUAGGGUGCUCGUCUCUCUACUCAGUCACUUAACUCCACAUCCCUAUUUUUCUCUGGAUUAAUAAUUUGUCUGAGUUUGCAUUUAGUUGAAGGGAGAUACAGAGUGAAAUUGAUUAUGAAAUUAAGUAGUUUACAUUGUGUAAAAGUUUUAAUCUCUAGAUCUGCAGAAUGUCUGUCAAAAUAGAGCUUUCCACAAGGGGUCUUCCUGCUAGUGGAAAGUGUGGCAGGUGCGAAGGCUGACAUCGGGCCACCUGACUGAGGUCUCAGACCCAAAAGCAGAUGUUCGCAGUCUCUAAACUGUUGGGAUUUUUGAGAAGACUCGAGACAUUGAAUUAAGAUUCUGUGUGUGGAGCAAUCUCGUUCUUUGCUCUGCCUUUCCCAGCAUGCCCUAGGGGUGGAGAAGAACAGGCUGUUGAGUGGUACUGUCCUGCUGUGCUGGGACGUUCGGGCCUGUCCGACACCAGUUCCUGCCAUGUGGAAUGAGGCAGUGUACUGAGGCUUUCUUUGUGUGACUUGAUUUGUGUUUUGUUUUUGAGACUCACUAUAUAGCCUUGGCUGGCCUUGACCCACAGUGUAGCCUAGGAUGUGGACCUUGUAAUCCUCCUCUGGCCUCCGUCUCCGGAGUAAUAGGAUUACAAGCAAGAGCCACCACGCCUGGUGUUAACGUAUCUGCUACAUGUAUUCAGGUAUCCGCUCCAGCUGCCUCCUACCAUACACUGGAGUGUUGUUUAGUAAUAAUGUGUAUUUCAAAUGCACUACAUGUUUUUGAGGGAUUGUUUAUCAUGUAUUUACUGAAUUUCCAUGUCCGGGCUCUGUCAUUAGGCACUGUAGCUAUAUGGACACUCUCUGUGUUAAGGACUUAACUUGGACUUUUAGUCAGCACAUGGUGGGAAUUUCUCCUUUCUCCACUGGCACAGUGGCCAAUACCUCCCCUUUCCUUUCCUUUCCUUUCCUUUCCUUUCCUUUCCUUUCCUUUCCUUUCCUUUCCUUUCCUGUUGUUGUUUGUUUGUUUGUUUGCUUGAGCUUGUCACUAGGCAGAGGAAUUCUGUUUGAAGGAACUAGCUAUUAAGUUAGGUGGCCUUUGCCUAGCCCCUUAUCCCUUUUGAAUAAAGCAACAUGCAUCUUUUGUUGUUAAAUGCUUCUUUUUUGAAGCAUUUUCUCGACUCUAUGAAUCCCCUAUUUAGUCUGCCUUAAAGUGAAACAACGACCAGUGAACCGAAGCAUGACAUUUUACCAGCUGUGCAGUGGUUAGCUAAGUGUGUCUUGAGAUGUUAGCAUCAUCAUGCACUUAAACUUGACACUAGGGCUAUUUUACAAACCUUAACAAACAAAACAGAUGCCACCUUGUACAUUAUCCUGUUACUGAGCUAAAAAUCCAAAUAGCAAUCAUGGGCAUGCUUUAGAACUGUGGUUUCAGGCAGGGGUAUACAUCCUGGGGGUAUGCAGAUACUAAGUCCAUUGAGAAAAUGUUAAAAUAAUGAUUCUUUGUAUUUAAUCUCAUCCUUUUAAAUUUCUAUUUUUAUGUGUUUUAUAAUGUACAUAAUAUAUUGUACAGUUGUACACUUAUAUAAUUUAUAAAUAAAUAAUACAUUUAUUGGUGC